GGCCGAUUAGCUCGGUCAGUUGAGCAUGGUGCUGGUAACACCAAGGCUGCGGGUUCGAUCCCUGUUCAGUCU
Molecule: transfer RNA, 72 nt
Filed under: Apaloderma vittatum (bar-tailed trogon)
Lineage: Eukaryota; Metazoa; Chordata; Aves; Trogoniformes; Trogonidae
Rfam family: tRNA
About the family: Transfer RNA (tRNA) molecules are approximately 80 nucleotides in length. Their secondary structure includes four short double-helical elements and three loops (D, anti-codon, and T loops).
Source: Rfam by way of RNAcentral